AUUGAACGCUGGCGGCAGGCCUAACACAUGCAAGUCGAACGAGUGGCGGACGGGUGAGUAAUGUCUGGGAAACUGCCUGAUGGAGGGGGAUAACUACUGGAAACGGUAGCUAAUACCGCAUACCAUCAGAUGUGCCCAGAUGGGAUUAGCUAGUUGGUGGGGUAACGGCUCACCAAGGCGACGAGCCCUAGCUGGUCUGCGAGGAUGACCAGGCUCACUGGACCUGAGACACGGUCCAGGCUCCUCCGAGUGGCAGCGGGGGGAAAUGUUGCACGAUGGGCGAAAGCCUGGUACAGCCCUGCCGCGUGUAUGAAGAAGACCUUCGGGUUGUAAAUUACUUUCAGAGGAGAGGCGUUACCCGACGAAGAAGCACCGGCUAACUCCGUGCCAGCAGCCGCGGUAAUUC
This 406-nucleotide ribosomal RNA is filed under the name uncultured bacterium. RNAcentral's name for it is "partial 16S ribosomal RNA". It matches the Rfam family "Bacterial small subunit ribosomal RNA", at positions 30 to 526 of the family's 1533-position model. The record is from RNAcentral.